Molecule: ribosomal RNA, 253 nt
Filed under: uncultured bacterium
Lineage: Bacteria
Description: partial 16S ribosomal RNA
Rfam family: Bacterial small subunit ribosomal RNA
Source: RNAcentral
UACGAAGGGGGCUAGCGUUGCUCGGAAUCACUGGGCGUAAAGCGCACGUAGGCGGAUUGUUAAGUCAGGGGUGAAAUCCUGGAGCUCAACUCCAGAACUGCCUUUGAUACUGGCGAUCUCGAGUCCGGGAGAGGUGAGUGGAACUGCGAGUGUAGAGGUGAAAUUCGUAGAUAUUAGGAAGAACACCAGUGGCGAAGGCGGCUCACUGGUCCGGUACUGACGCUGAGGUGCGAAAGCGUGGGGAGCAAACAGG